RNAcentral lists this ribosomal RNA (376 nucleotides) under uncultured eukaryote. RNAcentral's name for it is "SSU rRNA". It matches the Rfam family "Eukaryotic small subunit ribosomal RNA", at positions 587 to 972 of the family's 1831-position model. The record is from RNAcentral.
GGCUCCAAUAGCGUAUAUUAAAGUUGUUGCAGUUAAAUAGCUCGUAGUUGAAUUUUGGGCCGGGUCUGGUGGUCGCCCUCUGGGUGUACUGCCGGCCUAGUCUUUCUUUCUGGGGAACUUAUGUGCACUUUAUUGUGUGUGUAAGGGAUCCAGGACUUUUACUUUGAAAAAAUUAGAGUGUUUAAAGCGGGCAUCUGCUUGAAUACAUUAGCAUGGAAUAAUAGAAUAGGACUUUGGUUCUAUUUUGUUGGUUUCUAGGGCCGAAGUAAUGAUUAAUAGGGAUGGUUGGGGGCAUUAGUAUUUAAUUGUCAGAGGUGAAAUUCUUGGAUUUAUGAAAGACUAACUUCUGCGAAAGCAUUUGCCAAGGAUGUUUUCA